UACGUAGGGUGCAAGCGUUAAUCGGAAUUACUGGGCGUAAAGCGUGCGCAGGCGGUUGUGCAAGACAGAUGUGAAAUCCCCGGGCUUAACCUGGGAACUGCAUUUGUGACUGCACGGCUGGAGUGCGGCAGAGGGGGAUGGAAUUCCGCGUGUAGCAGUGAAAUGCGUAGAUAUGCGGAGGAACACCGAUGGCGAAGGCAAUCCCCUGGGCCUGCACUGACGCUCAUGCACGAAAGCGUGGGGAUCAAACAGG
RNAcentral lists this ribosomal RNA (253 nucleotides) under uncultured bacterium. RNAcentral describes it as "partial 16S ribosomal RNA". It matches the Rfam family "Bacterial small subunit ribosomal RNA", at positions 524 to 776 of the family's 1533-position model. The record is from RNAcentral.